GGGGGCGUUUUGGCUUCGACGGGGGUAAGAUGGGUUUGAUAAGCGAGCCGAGGCAAGCAUGUCACCUCGAUAAUAAAGUAUGCAUUAAAGAUAAACGCAGAAGACAAUUUUGCAUUAGCAGCUUAAUAUAGCCGCUCAUCAGCCC
Molecule: transfer-messenger RNA, 145 nt
Filed under: Clostridium sp.
Lineage: Bacteria; Bacillati; Bacillota; Clostridia; Eubacteriales; Clostridiaceae
Description: partial transfer-messenger RNA
Rfam family: transfer-messenger RNA
About the family: Bacterial tmRNA, also known as 10Sa RNA or SsrA, is named for its dual tRNA and mRNA-like properties.
Source: RNAcentral